CCAGGCUCGAAAUGUAACGGCUAGUACCAGAGAUGGUAUGUUCCGCAAGGACUGUUAUAUAGGUGCUGCAUGGCUGUCGUCAGCUCGUGCCGUGAGGUGUUUGGUUAAGUCCAGCAACGAGCGCAACCCUUAUCAUUAGUUGCCAACAUUUAAGGUGGGGACUCUAAUGAGACUGCCUGGGUUAACCAGGAGGAAGGUGAGGAUGACGUCAAGUCCGCAUGGCCUUUAUGUCUGGGGCUACACACGUGCUACAAUGGUCGGUACAGAAGGCAGCAAGACCGCAAGGUGGAGCAAAUCCGAAAAGCCGAUCCCAGUUCAGAUUGUAGUCUGCAACUCGACUACAUGAAGUUGGAAUUGCUAGUAAUGACGUGUCAGCUACAACGUCGUGAAUACGUUCCC
Molecule: ribosomal RNA, 399 nt
Filed under: uncultured bacterium
Lineage: Bacteria
Description: bacterial SSU rRNA
Rfam family: Bacterial small subunit ribosomal RNA
Source: RNAcentral